CGCGUAGGUGGCGCGGGAAGUCAACGGUGAAAGUUCAGGGCUCAACCCUGAAUCGGCCGUCGAUACUCCCGGGCUUGAGCACUGUAGAGGCAGGUGGAAUUCCGGGUGUAGCGGUGGAAUGCGUAGAGAUCCGGAAGAACACCGGUGGCGAAGGCGGCCUGCUGGGCAGUAGCUGACACUGAGGCGCGACAGCGUGGGAGCAAACA
This 206-nucleotide ribosomal RNA is filed under the name uncultured bacterium. Its description in RNAcentral is "partial 16S ribosomal RNA". It matches the Rfam family "Bacterial small subunit ribosomal RNA", at positions 568 to 774 of the family's 1533-position model. The record is from RNAcentral.